This 501-nucleotide long non-coding RNA is filed under the name Daucus carota (carrot). RNAcentral describes it as "long non-coding RNA (DCAR_LNC005649)". The record is from RNAcentral. Lineage: Eukaryota; Viridiplantae; Streptophyta; Magnoliopsida; Apiales; Apiaceae.
UAACCCGGGAACUGCUUCGAAAGAAUAACACCAAGAACUUGAUCGUCUCUUUGAAUAGAACCCUUUCCUUUCACUUUGUUCCUUCAGGUAUGUACGAUUGCCUGUUUUUUUUUUAUUCGUUACUAAAACUCUAAUAUUAGCUACUAUCCAGUUUUUGCAUAUUUGUUCAUUAUUUGUUAUCUUUAAGCAGCAUGUGUUAUCUCCAACUUAUGUAGUCAAUAGAUGUAACGUAGGCGACCAUUUAUGCUACCCAGUAACAAAUGGCAUGCUAACCAAGCAUAUUGGUCCAUGGGUCCCUUCGAAGUUGGAAGUUACAGAACUGAUCAGAGCUAUUUGUGUCAGUUGAGUCCUUGACGGAUAAAUUUCUGGAAAUAGGUCGAGCAGCAUGUUCAAUAUAAAAGGUAGCGGUUUAUAAUAUUUCAGGCGUUGGAUGUUGUUUGUGUAGUUGUGUAAACGGUGAAUUUCUUAUAUCAAAUGUCUGCGCAUUAUGUUUAUUUUACC